RNAcentral lists this ribosomal RNA (780 nucleotides) under uncultured bacterium. RNAcentral's name for it is "bacterial SSU rRNA". It matches the Rfam family "Bacterial small subunit ribosomal RNA", at positions 56 to 836 of the family's 1533-position model. The record is from RNAcentral.
UGCAAGUCGAACGCACUAGUUUACUAGUGAGUGGCGAACGGGUGAGUAACACGUAGGUAACCUGCCCUUAAGACGAGGAUAACCGUUGGAAACGAUGGCUAAGACUGGAUAGGAUGAUUAAAGGCAUCUUUGAUCAUUUAAAAGACCUAGCAAUAGGUAUGCUUAAGGAGGGGCCUGCGGCGCAUUAGCUAGUUGGUGAGGUGAGAGCUCACCAAGGCGAUGAUGCGUAGCCGGACUGAGAGGUUGAACGGCCACAUUGGGACUGAGAGACGGCCCAAACUCCUACGGGAGGCAGCAGUAGGGAAUUUUCGGCAAUGGGGGAAACCCUGGCCGAGCAACGCCGCGUGAAUGACGAAGUACUUCGGUAUGUAAAGUUCUUUUAUUAGGGAAGAAUGGCAGGUGGAAAAACCUGAUUGACGGUACCUAAUGAAUAAGCCCCGGCUAACUAUGUGCCAGCAGCCGCGGUAAUACAUAGGGGGCAAGCGUUAUCCGGAAUUAUUGGGCGUAAAGGGUGCGUAGGUGGUUCGUUAAGUCUUUGGUGUAAGUGCAGUGCUUAACGCUGUGAUGCUAAAGAAACUGGCGGACUUGAGUGUGGUAGAGGCAAGUGGAAUUCCAUGUGUAGCGGUAAAAUGCGUAAAUAUAUGGAGGAACACCAGUGGCGAAGGCGGCUUGCUGGGCCACAACUGACACUGAGGCACGAAAGCGUGGGGAGCAAACAGGAUUAGAUACCCUGGUAGUCCACGCCGUAAACGAUGAGUACUAAGUGUUGGAGAAAUUCAG